ACAGGUUCUGCCUUCUUCUGUCCAGACACAGCGAUUGUCGCAAAGUACUGGAUGACACGUUUGGUGUUGACGGUCUUUCCUGCGCCGGAUUCUCCGCUGUAGUGGGAAAACGAAAAUCUCUCUCUCUUUUGGAUGUCUAUGGUGUCAGAUUCUUAAUCGGUCACAUAGUUUCCUGAUGAUAAAAUCUUGAAUGCGGAUCUUCCAGGAAAUGUUCUGAGACGUUUCAACAAUAUAUCACUCAACAGAUGUUACUUUACCCAAAUGCAUAGACGUGCAGCUGUGACAGAGAUCUCCAGUGUCACUUAAGCAUCUUUCACACAUGCCAAAAAUGGAAAGGCGUGUUUUUUAUGAACUUUGAUCUUUCUACAUGAAGCCCAAAUCCACAAAUAGAAGCUUUAAACUUGAUUGGAUGAAGAACAUUUCCUUAUUAAUGCGUUUUAUUUCUUUGCCCUUGAUGUCAAUUUCUAAAUAUGUUUAUCAGUAACGUGGCGUACGCUUUCGCGUUAACUUGUAAUUGAAUAUAUUCAU
This is a non-coding RNA of Misgurnus anguillicaudatus (oriental weatherfish), 528 nucleotides long. The record is from RefSeq and is a predicted model, not a curated record. NCBI's taxonomy places the organism in Eukaryota, Metazoa, Chordata, Actinopteri, Cypriniformes, Cobitidae.